UGCUGGCCUGAAGGUAGUGAGUUAUCUCAACUGGCCUGAAGGUAGUGAGUUAUCUCACAGAUGAAACUCCUUGCUCUACUCUUUCCCCGCUUCUCACUAUGGCACUUGACUGGUCUACA
Molecule: Y RNA, 119 nt
Filed under: Saimiri boliviensis boliviensis (Bolivian squirrel monkey)
Lineage: Eukaryota; Metazoa; Chordata; Mammalia; Primates; Cebidae
Description: Y RNA (ENSSBOG00000011582.1)
Rfam family: Y RNA
About the family: Y RNAs are components of the Ro ribonucleoprotein particle (Ro RNP), in association with Ro60 and La proteins. The Y RNAs and Ro60 and La proteins are well conserved, but the function of the Ro RNP is not known.
Source: Rfam by way of RNAcentral